This 425-nucleotide ribosomal RNA is filed under the name uncultured bacterium. Its description in RNAcentral is "bacterial SSU rRNA". It matches the Rfam family "Bacterial small subunit ribosomal RNA", at positions 355 to 772 of the family's 1533-position model. The record is from RNAcentral.
UCGAGAAUUUUUCUCAAUGGGGGAAACCCUGAAGGAGCGACGCCGCGUGGGGGAUGAAGGGCUUCGGCCCGUAAACCCCUGUCAUUUGCGAACAAAUGUCAUGGUUGAACAUUCCAUGGCUUGAUUGUAGCGAAAGAGGAAGGGACGGCUAACUACGUGCCAGCAGCCGCGGUCAUACGUAGGACCCAAGCGUUAUCCGGAGUGACUGGGCGUAAAGAGUUGCGUAGGCGGACAAGUAAGCGAAUAGUGAAAUCUGGUGGCUCAACCAUCAACACAUUGUUCGAACUGCUGGUCUCGAGAAUGGUAGAGGUAGUUGGAAUUUCUUGUGUAGGAGUGAAAUCCGUAGAUAUAAGAAGGAACACCAAUGGCGUAGGCAGACUACUGGACCAUUUCUGACGCUGAGGCACGAAAGCGUGGGGAGCGAA